GAUGAAGAACGUAGCGAAAUGCGAUAAGUAAUGUGAAUUGCAGAAUUCAGUAAAUCAUCGAAUCUUUGAACGCACAUUGCGCCCGCCAGUAUUCUGGCGGGCAUGCCUGUUCGAGCGUCAUUUCAACCCUCAGGCCCCGCCUGGCGUUGGGGAUCGGCGCGGCCCUCUCCGGGCUGCCGGCCCCGAAAACUAGUGGCGGUCUCGCUGUAGUCCUCCUCUGCGCAGUAGCAACGCUCGCACUGGAACUCGGCGCGGCCACGCCGUAAAACACCCCACUUCUGAAAGUUGACCUCGGAUCAGGUAGGAAUACCCGCUGAACUUAAGCAUAUCAAUAAGCGGAGGA
Molecule: unclassified non-coding RNA, 343 nt
Filed under: soil metagenome
Description: partial contains 5.8S ribosomal RNA, internal transcribed spacer 2, and large subunit ribosomal RNA
Rfam family: 5.8S ribosomal RNA (bases 1-120)
Source: RNAcentral